GGGGGUGUAGCUCAGUAGUAAGCAGAGCACCUCCUUAGCAUGUGUGAGGUCCUAGGUUCAAUCCCCAGCACCCCCC
Molecule: transfer RNA, 76 nt
Filed under: Heterocephalus glaber (naked mole-rat)
Lineage: Eukaryota; Metazoa; Chordata; Mammalia; Rodentia; Bathyergidae
Rfam family: tRNA
About the family: Transfer RNA (tRNA) molecules are approximately 80 nucleotides in length. Their secondary structure includes four short double-helical elements and three loops (D, anti-codon, and T loops).
Source: Rfam by way of RNAcentral